Molecule: long non-coding RNA, 877 nt
Organism: Manis pentadactyla (Chinese pangolin)
Lineage: Eukaryota; Metazoa; Chordata; Mammalia; Pholidota; Manidae
Exons: 5
Source: RefSeq, a predicted model, not a curated record
AGUCGAAAGUUUGGGGAACAUGUCCCAGCCACUCUGAUUAAAAGAACAAGUGCUGCCAGUUUGAAGUAUUCGGUACAGAAGAGGAGGAAAAAAUAAAAUCUAAGGGACAAGAUGUUACAUCAUCAGUAUAUUUCAUGAAGUAAACAAUCAGCAAUGCCUGUGGAACAAUUGGGCUGAUCCUUGCUAUUGCCAACAAUAAAGACAAGAUGCACUUUGAAUCUGGAUCAACCUUGAAAAAAUUCCUGGAGUAGUCUGUAUCAGUGAGCCCUGAAGAACGAACCAGAUAUCUGGAUAAUUUUGACGCUAUUCGAGUUACUCAUGAGACCAGUGCCCAUGAAGGUCAGACUGAGAAAAGGAAAUUUUGAUACAGACAGGCACCGAUGGAAGACCAUGUGAAGACAAAUGCCAGAAACCACCAUCUCCAAGCCUCAGAAGAAACGAACCCUGCUAACACCUUAAUCUCAAAUUUCUAGCCUCCAGAACUGUGAGAAAAUGUAUUUCUAUUGUUUAUGCUCACCAGCCAGUGAUACUUUGUUAUGACAGCUCUAUCAAAUUAAUGAAAGCAUCAUUCUUCUCUGCUUAAAUUCUAAAAAACUUGACCUGUGAUUUUUAGAUCCACAGUCAGAAAUCAACCAUUGACAGCCACCUUCUAUUUUCUACUUACCCUUUGAGUCUCUGGCUUCUGAUAUCCAGUUCUUUAUUAUUCUGUUUGAACUCUAGCUAGGAAUCCAGGGUUUACACUCCCUUGUGAAUGGGUAGUUUUCAAUAAUGCAUCACAUGGCUGUUUCUUCUGUUACUAUUUAUGGACCCAUUGAUACAUAAGAAAUCUGCCUCCUAGAGAGGUUUUUUUUCUUAUAUGAAGUUAACCAAUUCAGAA